GUCCCACAAAUCAUGCAGCCAGUCCUACCUGGCACCAUCCUGCCAACUGUGUGGAUUCCUGCAGCAUCCCCAGUGAAGAAGAGAAAGAAAAUCCCAGCUGAUCCAGCUAGUGGACUUCGAAAGCAGGUGCUUCAAAGUUAAGGGACUAUCACAUGGUUCCAGUGAUCACCUACGGUGUCUUGGAUGGGUGGGCAGGGGGCUGAUUAAUUAGAAGAAAAGGAAAGACUCUAGAGUCUGCAGGUCUUACAGUCACCGCUAGUUGGGGUGGAAGUAGAUGUGUGACUGAGCCACAAGAAGUGAUUUUAUUAUCUGCUAAUAAUAAAAACAACCCAGCAUUCAAGCUGGGGCUUGAAGAUUUCACAGGUGGAGCACAUGGUGUGGCUGAGCUGGGGCCUUGGAAAGCAGAUCUUAGUGGAAGAUUAGGCAAGCUGCAACUGUAGAUAAUGGGGUCAGGAUGGCGAUGGGAAAGUGUGGAGAGGAAUGGGGGCUGUGUGUCAGGUGGUUGUAUAAUAAGUGGAGGACAGUCCUUGAUAUUCAGAAAUCUAGGCAGCAGACAGCAUUGAGGAAGAUGAUCAGUAAAGCUGGAGGUCCCAGCCCUACACAAGGGUUGCAGGUGACACUGCAGAGGGGGAUGCCUGAGCCUCGGCAGGUUUCCAGCACCAAGACUGAUGAAGAAGAAAGAAGAAAGAAGAAAGAAGAAAGAAGAAAGAAGAAGAAGAAGAAAGAAGAAAGAGGAGGACCAGUAACAGGAAUGGAACACCAGAAUGAAGCCACUUGGGCUUCCUGGGAAGAUAGUGAAAAGGCUGGCAUCUCCAUUCCUGCCACUCCUGUCCUAGGCAUCUACUUGGCACAUUCCCCUCCCAAUGCUUUGACCUCCCUUGACAGCCUGAGGCUCCUGAAAGGCAGAUGCUUUCUCUCUUUCACCUGCUUACCUCUAAUGCAAAGGAAAGUACGUAGCACAUGGCAGGUGCUGAAUAAAUGUAGUCUGGUUGGCUGGGCACUAGCUAGUUGGACAGUUCGAUGGCCACUUAGCUUAACAGUCAGAGGGAAGCCGGGCUGUAAAAAGCCUGCAGAUUGUGACACCAGAUGCCCAGGGUUCUAA
Molecule: long non-coding RNA, 1102 nt
Filed under: Vulpes vulpes (red fox)
Lineage: Eukaryota; Metazoa; Chordata; Mammalia; Carnivora; Canidae
Description: lncRNA (ENSVVUG00000004005.1)
Source: RNAcentral